Molecule: long non-coding RNA, 389 nt
Filed under: Capsicum annuum
Lineage: Eukaryota; Viridiplantae; Streptophyta; Magnoliopsida; Solanales; Solanaceae
Description: long non-coding RNA (CANN_LNC022483)
Source: RNAcentral
AUUGAUGUGGUGGUUCAACACUUCAACUCUUAAGCAAAAGGUUGAGGGUUCGAUUCCUAUCUUUGAUGAAUGGAGAAAAUUUCGUGGUCAGUUCUCUACCGCUUAGUACCCUGACCGUGGAACGGAGGAUCAGUGGAACAAAGGAAUAGUCUCACGGCUGUCGGCUGUGGGGAUACCUUGGAAAACCAAAAGAUCCACGGGCUAUUUUAAAACAAAUGGCCAGUAUUUGAUAUUUUGCCAAAAAUAGCAAGUUAGUUAAAUUAUUUCUGCAAUAUAAUCAUUUCCUAAUUUGGAUAAUUUUAGACCAUAUAGUUUAAAUACAAUUUAUAUACAAUAUUGAUACAGUUUAUAUACAAUACUGAUACAGUUCCCAACUUGGGUCAUUUGGC